This 2209-nucleotide long non-coding RNA is filed under the name Suricata suricatta (meerkat). Its description in RNAcentral is "lncRNA (ENSSSUG00005015378.1)". Lineage: Eukaryota; Metazoa; Chordata; Mammalia; Carnivora; Herpestidae. The record is from RNAcentral.
UAAAGUACCCCAGUUUGCACAUCACAUUUUAUGGUCAUGCUAUAUUUGGUGCAAUCUGAAUUAGGCUCAGAUGGACAAUCUGCAAUGGGUAUAGAAAAUCUAUAAAAUUCAAACAGUUGUGUUCCAAAAAUAAAGAUUUAUGUCAUAACCAUCCUCUACCAUACUACAUGCUAGAUAUUUAAUAAAUCUGAUUAAAAUAGAGUUAAUGAAUUCUCCAUUAGAAAAGAGUAAAUCCCUCUGAUUAGAUUAUCUUCUCCCCUAGGAAAAGAUUGUGGCCUCAUCUGGAAUCCAGAAAUAACUAAUAGGAAUACCAAGAAAACUUAGCCCAUCUUCUAAUGAAGAUUCAUGGCAAAAAUGGAUCAAGCGGCCUAGGAUUUGUUAGACAAGCAUAAUAAUGGAUAUAGAAGACAUCAACGCAGGCUAAAAUACAAUGCAAGAAGAUAAAACCGUAACAAUCUUCCCAACUGGAAGAAAAGAUAAUAGUUGUUUAUUUGAAAACAUGUAGGAAAUGAUUGCAGAAGUCUUGGCCAAAAUCUAAUCACUUAGGAAUAGCCUGCAAUCCAAGAUAUCCAACAAAAUUAUAGCUUUCAGAGACAAAGGUCAAGGAAUUAAGAAAUGGGAACAUUUGAAAACCACACUGAAGGUGAGGAAAUCUUGGCAGGCUCAACAACAUCAUUUUCCUUUGAGAAACAGCACCAGGGAUUGGAAAUCCCAAAUGACGUCUCAAGAUCAAAACACCCAUGAGAAAAUGAGCUCAUUUGUAAGUAAGUCCGUGAGAAUGGUAACAGACACAUUCCCCAUAUGUAAACAAUGGAUAAACAGGGCUCCAUUUUAAAGCCUUGUGCAAUUGCCAUGAGUAGUUUAGUCAAGAAAGAAAAACCAAGUACAAAAGUUUAAAGACAGAGACUAUCUCAGGACUUUUCCCCAUAACAAAGAGACAGUUUGCCAAGAGGUAAAGAAUGCUUUACCUCUUAGGAUGCUUUCAGUUAUGUAUAAAGGAAAAUUCAACACAAACUGACAAACAAGACAUUUUUUUGUCUCACUUAACUAGAAAAUUCAAAAGUAGAUAAGGUUUCAGAAUGGGGCAAACCAGCAAUCUAGUUAUGUUUUAUCAGGGACUCCAUUUCAUUCUGAAUAUGUACUCCACUGUCCAUGGUGUUGACUUCACAAUGAUUCCUUUCACUCACAUCUUAUGGCGGAUAAAAACGGGGCCUUUCCAUAUCUGAACUGGUCUGCUCCCAUGCCCAUCCAACAUAAGUUCUAAACUGUACGCUGACUGGAGCACUUCUCAUUCAUCCCUGUGGUCAGGGCAGCCAUGCUCUGAUGACUUAGGUCUGACUACCUGAACUCAUCACUGCAGCGAGAGACCUGACUUAGCUGAUAGACCUGGCCCACCCAAACCACACGGUUAACACGUAAUGGGGGAAGAGUGAAAUAGGUAUUAGAGAAAUAACUUACUAUGUGAGCAGAAAAAGAAUGUUGACUGUUCUGUACUUUCGUUGAUAUUAACUUAGUUUUUAGGUCUUUACAUUUCAAGUGAUUUUUUAUAUAAGAAAAUACACUGAAAUGUGAAAGUGAGCAAAUGAUGUUAUUUCAGAUUCAAAGAUCAAAAUUGCAUUAUAGAACAUAAGGAAGAAAAUGGUGCCAGGAAGGUGGUGAAUUUUACUUUCUUAGUGCAGCCACAAAAAGUAGGGGAAGUAGACUUAAAAAGAAUUGAUGUUAUAGGGUUGAUUGGAAUAUAUCCAGAUUUUACCCUAAAACUUUAGAUGAGAAGCUUUGAUAAAAUGGAAGCAGUACCAAAAGUGAAAAGGAAGGACUUCAGCCAUCCCACUGUUAAGAUAUAUACACACAGGAAUUAAUUACCUUAUAAAUAGGAUUUUUAAUAUACAGAUGUGUAAUGAGUUGAUGACCAUGAAAAGGUACAGCCUUAAGCAUAUUAUUGCUUAUCAUCUCUUCACCACUGAUUAUAGGAUUUUUAUCCAAAUCCAGAAGAAGCAUUACCAAAGUUUUUUUCAAAGUAGCUGAAAGUUUGUUCCCCUAAAGUUUUUUCAAAUAACUGAAAUGAUCCCAGAUGAAUGCAGGAGAUUUAAAUAAUAAUAAUGCCCUCACUUUGCUUUACUCGGACUUUAUAUUUAAUGAGAAAAUUAUGGUUUCAACUAUGAUCUCAAUGAAACUAAUAACUAAAAUGGUAUCUCCAGGGGUGCCUGGC